UGGGGAAUAUUGCACAAUGGGCGAAAGCCUGAUGCAGCAACGCCGCGUGAGUGAUGAAGGUCUUCGGAUUGUAAAGCUCUGUCUUUUGGGACGAUAAUGACGGUACCAAAGGAGGAAGCCACGGCUAACUACGUGCCAGCAGCCGCGGUAAUACGUAGGUGGCGAGCGUUGUCCGGAUUUACUGGGCGUAAAGGGUGCGCAGGCGGAUGUUUAAGUGAGAUGUGAAAUACCCGGGCUUAACUUGGGUGCUGCAUUUCAAACUGGAUAUCUAGAGUGCAGGAGAGGAGAAUGGAAUUCCCUAGUGUAGCGGUGAAAUGCGUAGAGAUUAGGAAGAACACCAGUGGCGAAGGCGAUUCUCUGGACUGUAACUGACGCUGAGGCACGAAAGCGUGGGUAGCAAACAGGAUUAGAUACCCUGGUAGUCCACGCCGUAAACGAUGAGUACUAGGUGUAGGAGGUAUCGACCCCUUCUGUGCCGC
RNAcentral lists this ribosomal RNA (479 nucleotides) under uncultured bacterium. Its description in RNAcentral is "partial 16S ribosomal RNA". It matches the Rfam family "Bacterial small subunit ribosomal RNA", at positions 355 to 849 of the family's 1533-position model. The record is from RNAcentral.